This 265-nucleotide ribosomal RNA is filed under the name uncultured archaeon. Its description in RNAcentral is "partial 16S ribosomal RNA". It matches the Rfam family "Archaeal small subunit ribosomal RNA", at positions 748 to 1009 of the family's 1478-position model. The record is from RNAcentral.
UAGCCGUAAACGAUACUCGCUAGGUGUCGGCCACGGUGCGACCGUUGUCGGUGCCGUAGGGAAGCCGUGAAGCGAGCCACCUGGGAAGUACGGCCGCAAGGCUGAAACUUAAAGGAAUUGGCGGGGGAGGCACAACAACGGGUGGGAGCUUGCGGUUUAAUUUGGAUUCAACGCCGGACAACUCACCAGGAGCGACGGUUACAUGAAGGCCAGGCUGAUGACCUUGCCUGAUUUUCCGUAGAGGUGGUGCAUGGCGUAGUCGUGU